UAGAACUUCCCAAACAUGGACGCAUGCUCUGCAUUUCGUUUUGUCUUUAACCAUGAAUCGACUAAGAAGUAUGUUGGGCACAAAAGUUUUGCACAGGAAACACAAAGAAACAGUUAACUUUUAAGAAAUCUUCUUGAUGUGGUUGAGGAAAUACAGAUAGCACGGUUAGAAAUUAGAAAUAUGACACUUAUCUGCUUUCAUUCUCCAUCAGCUAAGCAGCUUGAUUUGCAGCUUGGUUUCAUUGAUUUUGACAGUGGUAUAAAGGUGACAGUGACUUGAUGUGACGUGUUUGAACUGG
Hibiscus syriacus is the source of this 298-nucleotide long non-coding RNA. RefSeq lists it as uncharacterized. The record is from RefSeq and is a predicted model, not a curated record. NCBI's taxonomy places the organism in Eukaryota, Viridiplantae, Streptophyta, Magnoliopsida, Malvales, Malvaceae. The transcript is spliced from 3 exons.